RNAcentral lists this non-coding RNA (30 nucleotides) under Macaca fascicularis (crab-eating macaque). Lineage: Eukaryota; Metazoa; Chordata; Mammalia; Primates; Cercopithecidae. The record is from RNAcentral. RNAcentral also lists the same sequence under 1 other name.
UUGGGAUGAUGGUCAGAUGAUGUCUGUCCU